CCUACGGGUGGCAGCAGUGGGGAAUAUUGCGCAAUGGGCGAAAGCCUGACGCAGCGACGCCGCGUGAGGGAUGAAGGUCUUCGGAUCGUAAACCUCUGUCAGCAGGGAAGAACGGUCACUGUGCUAAUCAGCAGUGAAUUGACGGUACCUGCAAAGGAAGCACCGGCUAACUCCGUGCCAGCAGCCGCGGUAAUACGGAGGGUGCGAGCGUUAAUCGGAAUUACUGGGCGUAAAGCGCUCGUAGGCGGUAUGUCAAGUCAAGGGUGAAAUCCCCGCGCUCAACGUGGGAACUGCCUUUGAAACUGGCAAACUGGAGUGUGUGAGAGGAUAGUGGAAUUCCAGGUGUAGGAGUGAAAUCCGUAGAUAUCUGGAGGAACAUCAGUGGCGAAGGCAGCUUACUAAACUGUGACUGACAUUGAUGCUCGAAAGUGUGGGUAUCAAACAGGAUUAGAUACCCCUGUAGUC
RNAcentral lists this ribosomal RNA (465 nucleotides) under uncultured bacterium. RNAcentral describes it as "partial 16S ribosomal RNA". It matches the Rfam family "Bacterial small subunit ribosomal RNA", at positions 338 to 795 of the family's 1533-position model. The record is from RNAcentral.